AAUGACAAAAAAAAAAAUGACAAAUUGAUUAUAUAUUUUUUUAUGCGCACAUAUAUAUCAUGGGUACUAUAUAUAUACUUUCUUUUUUUGUUAUUUUUUUUAGGACUCUGAAAACGAAAUAAUUAACGAAUUAGUUCAUCAUCCUUUCCAAAUAGACAUCGUUAUAAAAAGAAGAAAUUUGUAACACAUAAGCUGAGUUUGUUUGCGUAUACAUCUAUAAGCAGUGUGUGUUUAUUUUUUUUUUUCUUUUUUUUUGUAUACACUCUUUGGCAAAUCAAAAAAAUUUUAUAUAAACACAAAAAAAAAAAAAAAAAAAAAAAAAAAAAAAAAAAAAAAAAAAAAAAUAGGUAACAAAAAAAAAAAAAAAACACGCUAAAAAAUGCAUUUGAAAAUAGGAUAAAAAAUGCGUUUGAAAAUUGGCUAAAAAAUGCUUUUAAAAAUAAGAUAAAAAAAAAGGCUUUUGAAAAUACGCUAAAAAUUGCGUUUUUUUUUAUAUCUAUGCCAUAUUUACAUGCUGAUGUAUUUACAUGCUGAUGUAUUUUUUUUUAAUAAUAUAUUCCUCAUGCUGUGUUUGAAGAUUUAGCCAUUCUUGUGUCUUUACAACAAAUUGUAAUAAGCUAAGACACUUAUUUUUGUUUUUUUUUCUUAACUUUUUAUGUUUUAUAUCAAUGUUAGUUAUUUAUUUUUUUUUUUUUUUUUUUUUUUUUUAUCAUUACCUAGGUCAUCAUCACCACCACCAACACCACCACCAUCACCACCACCAACACCAUCACCAACACCACCACCAACACCACCACCAACACCAACACCAACACCAUCACCAACACCACCAUCAUUGUUUUGUUCCGUUGUUUGUACCAAAUUAUUAUAUUUUCGUUUGUUUCGGUUGAUGGUUGUAUUAAUAUUGUUAUUGUUUAUAUUUUCACUAUUUAUAUGUUUAUUUUGCUCACUUUUUUUUUUGUUAUAUAUAUUCUCACCUUUUUCUACUUUCCCAUCAUCACUUACACUAUCCUCCUCAUCUUCACUCAUAUAAGUAAAUUGUUCACAUUUCGGAUUAGCUAUAUACAUAUUGUUUAAGAUUGUAAAAUAUGUUUCUCCAAAAUAUUUUUUAUCAUAAUUCAUAAAAUACUCUAAUUCUUUAUCACUUCUACUCAUAAAAUGAUUUACAGAUAUUGGAUUUGUUGGUUCAGUAGUUACAUAAUUAUCCAUAUUUUGUUUUUUUUGUAAAAUAUAUUUUAAUUUGUUUUGUCUAUCUUCAUCGUUAUGCAUUUUGUUGAAUAAUCCUGCUUGAAUUACUUUAUCGUUCAUACUUAAUUUUUCUUGUGCUCUCUUAAAAAUAAAAUUUUCAACACCCGAUAAGGUUAUAAACCG
This 1371-nucleotide long non-coding RNA is filed under the name Piliocolobus tephrosceles (Ugandan red Colobus). RNAcentral's name for it is "lncRNA (ENSPTEG00000008813.1)". Lineage: Eukaryota; Metazoa; Chordata; Mammalia; Primates; Cercopithecidae. The record is from RNAcentral.